CAGUCGCCACGGUAAUACGAAGGGGGCUAGCGUUGUUCGGAUUUACUGGGCGUAAAGCGCACGUAGGCGGAUCGAUCAGUCAGGGGUGAAAUCCCAGAGCUCAACUCUGGAACUGCCUUUGAUACUGUCGAUCUGGAGUAUGGAAGAGGUGAGUGGAAUUCCGAGUGUAGAGGUGAAAUUCGUAGAUAUUCGCAAGAACACCAGUGGCGAAGGCGGCUCACUGGCCCAUAACUGACGCUGAGGCGCGAAAGCUAGGGGAGCAAACAGGAUUAGAUACCCGAGUAGUCCCUGUCUCUUAUAC
RNAcentral lists this ribosomal RNA (301 nucleotides) under uncultured bacterium. RNAcentral describes it as "partial 16S ribosomal RNA". It matches the Rfam family "Bacterial small subunit ribosomal RNA", at positions 509 to 807 of the family's 1533-position model. The record is from RNAcentral.